GGAGGGAACGAGGGGAGGAGAGAAAAGAGGGUGGGGAGGGGAAGGCGGGCGGCGGGGGAGGGGAGCGCGCUGCUAGGGCAGACAAUGAGUCCCGCGCAGCCUGCGGGUGUGGGCUGAGCUGCGAGCGCGGUCCUAGGACUAAGAGCAAGUCCACCCAGGGGGCGCCGAUCCCGGGGACGCCGGGGGAGGGGCAGAGGUGGCAGAACGCCUGACCUGGCUGGCGACCCACACCCAUUCCUCCUCCCCCAGUUACACACAUACUCAAGGGGGGGAGGCGCUGGCAGGGUUGACUAUGCAUAGUCCAACGCUGUCUCCGCAGCGGGAGAGACGCGCCAUCUCGGGGGUCAGCGAGCCCUCAGAAAGUGAGGGGAAAGUGCCUUCCUCCGCUGGUCUCCCCCACUGCUGCCUCCACAUUAAAUGAACUUUUUGCCCCGUAGUUGUGUAUGUUUCCCGACCUCUUCUCGAGACCUUGGGGCUCAGGUCCUGGUGGCCGUCGGGGGUCUAGUCUCCUGUGAUGUAGGAAAGAAGGAACUAGAGCGCCUAGCUCCCUAUCUCUGCUCCGCUUUUUACAAACGGUUAGUCCACGAGGUGCGCAGAAGGGACAAGGGCUACUAGGCCAGUCGCGCUCUCCGAGUUCUGGUGUCCUGUUUGCUCUGAGCUUUCCCUGGAGAACUUCAGGUAAGUCACAUAUAAGUCGUUGGAAAGAGGAGGGGGGUCACCUUCCCUGGUUCCAGGGCUAAAUACCACUUCCCCACCCCCACCCUCACAUACACACCCCUUCUUCGCUCCCUCCAAAUGGUUAUCACAACUGUGUACAAACUGAUACGGUCCUUCGCCGGCAAAGGGACUGGAAAUGAACGUCGCGGGGUUAUCAGCGCCGAUCUGUCAGCAGGGAGUCGCGCGGCCCGCAGGUUCGUCCUCGGCAGGAGCCGUGAUGUAUGUCUCGCUCCCUUACGCUCACAAAAAGGAUUUCUUCCGACAGCUGUGACCCCAGAAGGCUGUCGAAAAUUUUAACUAGGGCAGGAGGAGUUGUUUUGUAGGAAUGGAUUUUUACACUUUUUUUCCAGGUAAAUCGAAGUAAAUGAUUUUCUAAAGGUCAGUCUCCCUGAAAGCCUUUGGGCUGUGUGUGUGUGUGUGUGUGUGUGUGUGCGCGCGCGCGCGCGUGCGCGCGCGUGUGUGUGUGUGUGUGUGUGUGUGUGUGUGUGUGUUUCCAGUUGGGGAAGGGAGAGUUGCAUAGAGUUGAACCCGGGUAGGUAGGGACAUAAUAAAAUUUAAGAGUUUGGAGAGAUUGUGAGAAGUCAUGGCUAAAUGUUUCCUUUCUAUGUAACUGUGACUUGUGAGCCUGUGUAUCCUGGGGGACAAGGGGACAGGGCCAGGCAGCGCGGGGGAGGAAGGUGCAGAAUCGAGGAAGUCCACGAUUCUCCUUUUCUUUUUUUCAUUCUUCGUUGUAAAUAGCUGUUAAACACUUCUGAAUUUUAAAUUGCUACCGAGAAGGUCCAUAAACCGUUCUCAUCCAAUUUAGUCACUUUUAUUACAUUCCUCUUCGCCUCCCCCAAUCACUGCGGCGGCUCCCAGUUUCAGCGUGGCCGUAAUUCGGAAAGACUGAAGGUAGAAAACUCUGGAACGGAGAUUGGCGACUGGAGCAGGAUCCAGGGACUUUAAAUUUUAACCUGAAUUCGAUUGAAUGCAUCUACCAGAAGAGAUAGUCCGGCGUCCGCCGUCCACUCAACUCCGACCAGGGCUUCCAAUGCCUUUCUUUUGGUUUCUACGUGAGUUCUGACCAAAUUUUUACGUAGACUGAGUUUUGCAGAAGUUCACUUAUAAGCCGUUACAGAAAGAUUGUGGGCAUUUGAUUUCCUUUGAGUCCAAUUGUUCUUAAAUGUUUCUAUGGUUUGCUCUCGAAAGCGAAGUUAUCUUUUUCUAAUUCAUAUCUUAGCGAGAUGCUGUCUAAGGAAGACAAGUUAGCAAAUAAAUUGGCUAAGUAAGAGUCCAGCCUGUGAACGGCCUCCAAGCCUGAGCCCAGAGAAGACCGAGCCCCGGCACGAACCUGAUUCCUGCUGCGUGUGUGUUUUUUUAUAUUUGCCAAACACGAGGUUGUCCUUGUGAAUUUCCCUGCACAAUAGCUGACACCCGGGAGAGGGUGCGCGGGCCCCGGCGCCGCUGGGACAGAGACUGGCUUUCCAACCAGAGGAGAGAAUGGAUAGUGAAAUUUUUUUCUUGUCAGUUAACUUCAAAAUAAAACAAAACUGUUUGACCCGUGGAGUUUAUUCAGACGGAAAGCCAGGUUGCCUGACUCGUCCAGUUUGCAAUUUUCCCAGCGCAUCGGCUUUGGCCCCGGAGACAACACCCCCAGGGAGAGGCACAUUUUCAAAGCCACCCUUCACCGGCCCCAGGCCCGGGGCUCUGAUCUCCCUGAGCGCCUCAGUUGGUCCCGGAAAGCGAGGAGAAGAGGGGGUGCAGAGGAAGAAGUGCACCCAAAGAGCUGGCGAAGGCCCCCAUAGUGUUCCAGGUGGAAAGCUUAGAAGUUUUCUUCGUGUUUCCUCCCGUUUCUUUUCUUCCUCCUCUUUUCCUUCCGCCCCUCUCUUCUUCGGUGAUUUGCUAAUAUGGAACGAAAUCGUUUGUCUCGGGACUAUUUAGACCCAAGAAGUGGCCCCUCCGGAGCGAGCCUGCCUCCCCAAGCGGCCCUUCUCACCUUCUGAAGGGGGCUGGCUCCCGGGCGCGGCCUGUCUCCAGGCUGAUUUAUUUGGGCCGCGCGCGCCACACCGCGCUUCGCGAUUCGAAUCCAGCCCGAACCCAGCCGCCAAUAGGGCAGGAGGCGGGGGCUUGGCGGCCAAACGGGGACGGGUGUUUGGGGACCAAGUUGUACGCCGCUUCCGGCGGAGCAGCGAGACUCGGGCGAAGACCCGUGUCAUGAUCCGCCUUUCUUCCCCAAACCUAAUCUCAUCCUGUUGUCCUUUCACCAAGCUCCUGGGUGCUCCAGCGACGUUGCAGGAGGAAAAAGAAUACAAUUACAUACCGUUUCUGACUUAAAAUAUAGUUUUAACUUGAGAGGUUUGUGGGGUUUUUUAAACCAGAUUUAUGGGGCCUUCUCGCUUGUGCUUAUAUUUCUUCCCGUCCCGGGGACACUUUGGCCGAAGGGCACGGGGUCACCUCGGCGCGCCCCGCCCCCACCCGCGCCCAGGCCCACUAGCCGGGACCGGCUGUCAGUCCAACACAGGCCAUCCCCCAGGGUCCUGACGGAGUGGGGGUUGGGGGAACUGUUGUUUUGUUUUUGUAAUUCUCGAAAACCCCAAAAUGCUCCUUAGAGACGUCAGGUGGUGACGGCGGAAGCACUGAAAAUGCGCAGCCUAGAGGUCGCCCCAACCGCGUGCCCUGGCUCUCCGCCCCACUGCCCGCAGCCUGUCAUCGGGCUCCGGAACGCAGCGCCCACGCCGGGCUGUCGCGAUCGGGACCCGGCCCCGCGGCCCCGCAGCCCCGGGCCGACCCCGCGCGCCGCCGGCGGCCGCCAGUUCGGCGCGGAGGUGGGCUCGCUGCGGCGGCGCGCGAAAGGUCACCGCGGUGGCAUUCCUGUCCGCGCGCUGUUUACGUGACUUAAUGUACUUCGUCCGCCGCGGCUUGUUAUCUAGGCCACCCAAUGACCGACGAAAGAUUUUCCCUCCCUGCUUCUCCCAAGGCCGCUUUAAACCAAAUAAAUUUAGCUAUUAAGGGCCAAGAUGUCUAACAAAAGAUCGAAAGGUGUCUUUCCGUGAUCGCUUAAAGAAGCGAAGGAGAAGCUUGUGGCUCUCGGAUCCCGAUAAAGACAUUCCACACCGGCGCCGGCCUCCCUCCCCGCGUCCUGCUUGCGUCCCAACACCCUGAGAUCCCCGCUUGGCGCCCAGAUCUCCGACGGGCUCGGCGGGACCUGCAGCCGCCGCCCGGCCAGGGAGUGCCAAAGCCUGGGGUCUCGGGAGCCCUUCCUGCUGGAGCCAAACUCCCAGAGCAGCCAGCCCUCUGCCCUCGGCGGAAAAAAAAACCUCAGUGGGAUCCUUAUUACCUCCCAUUUUAAUUAUUUUCUCAUACUGAAUAAGACUGCAAAGCCAAAUCACGCCUAACCUCCCAACCCACCACCCCCCUCCGGGUGGUUUUGCUGAGGGGCAUUGUUACUCCCCAUCUCCGGUGGUGGGGAGCAGACCUUUGGAACCUCAGUCAGAAGAUGGUGGGUGGAAGGAAUCCUGCUGAGGCUAAUCAGGAGGGUUCAGGUGGGAGGCAGCAGUCCAGAUAUUCAGUCACCUUGAGGUUGAGUUUGGUUAUGAAGAGUGGUAUUUAUUAUUGUUAUUAUUAUUAUUAUUAAUUACUACUGGCAUCGCUACGUAAAGCCUAGAGCUGCCAGCUGGACUGAAGCCCUGGCCCCUAGAGUGAUCCUUCCUUUUCACCAAAGAUGAAGCAGAGAAUAUCCUGUUUCCUGAU
Sus scrofa (pig) is the source of this 4446-nucleotide non-coding RNA. NCBI's taxonomy places the organism in Eukaryota, Metazoa, Chordata, Mammalia, Artiodactyla, Suidae. The record is from RefSeq and is a predicted model, not a curated record.